GAUGAACGCUGGCGGCGUGCUUAACACAUGCAAGUCGAACGGUGAACCCGGAGCUUGCUCUGUGGGAUCAGUGGCGAACGGGUGAGUAACACGUGAGCAACCUGCCCCUGACUCUGGGAUAAGCGCUGGAAACGGCGUCUAAUACUGGAUAUGUGACGUGACCGCAUGGUCUGCGUUUGGAAAGAUUUUUCGGUUGGGGAUGGGCUCGCGGCCUAUCAGCUUGUUGGUGAGGUAAUGGCUCACCAAGGCGUCGACGGGUAGCCGGCCUGAGAGGGUGACCGGCCACACUGGGAUUGAGACACGGCCCAGACUCCUACGGGAGGCAGCAGUGGGGAAUAUUGCACAAUGGGCGAAAGCCUGAUGCAGCAACGCCGCGUGAGGGAUGACGGCCUUCGGGUUGUAAACCUUUUUUAGCAGGGAAGAAGCGAAAGUGACGGUACCGGCAGAAAAAGCGCCGGCUAACUACG
This 467-nucleotide ribosomal RNA is filed under the name uncultured bacterium. RNAcentral's name for it is "partial 16S ribosomal RNA". It matches the Rfam family "Bacterial small subunit ribosomal RNA", at positions 28 to 505 of the family's 1533-position model. The record is from RNAcentral.